CCUACGGGUGGCAGCAGUAGGGAAUUUUCGGCAAUGGGGGGAACCCUGACCGAGCAACGCCGCGUGAAGGAAGAAGGAAUUCGUUCUGUAAACUUCUGUUAUAAAGGAAGAAAGACGGAUGGAGGAAAUGACAUCCGAGUGACGGUACUUUAUAAGAAAGCCAAGGCUAACUACGUGCCAGCAGCCGCGGUAAUACGUAGGUGGCAUGCGUUAUCCGGAAUUAUUGGACGAAAAGAGGGAGCAGGCGGCAGCAAAGGUCUGGGGUGAAAGACUGAAGCUAAACUUCAGUAAGCCAUAGACACCGGGCAGCUAGAGUGCAGGAGAGGAACGUGGAAUUCGAGGUGUAGCGGUGAAAUGCGUAGAUAUAAGGAGGAACACCAGUGGCGAAGGCGACGAUCUGGCCUGCAACUGACGCUCAGUCCCGAAAGCGUGGGGAGCAAAUAGGAUUAGAUACCCGAGUAGUC
RNAcentral lists this ribosomal RNA (464 nucleotides) under uncultured bacterium. RNAcentral describes it as "partial 16S ribosomal RNA". It matches the Rfam family "Bacterial small subunit ribosomal RNA", at positions 338 to 795 of the family's 1533-position model. The record is from RNAcentral.